AGAAUCAACGCUGGCGGCGUGCCUCAGACAUGCAAGUCGAACGCGAAAGUCUCCUUCGGGGGACAAGUAGAGUGGCGCACGGGUGAGUAACACGUAGGUAAUCUACCUUCGGAUGGGGAAUAACAACCGGAAACGGUUGCUAAUACCGCAUAAUGCAGCGGCACCUAAUGGUGACAGUUGUUAAAGCGGGGGAUCGAAAGACCUCGCGUCUGAAGAGGAGCCUGCGGCGGAUUAGCUUGUUGGUAAGGUAACGGCUUACCAAGGCUACGAUCUGUAUCCGGUCUAAGAGGACGGUCGGACACACUGACACUGAAUAACGGGUCAGACUCCUACGGGAGGCAGCAGUCGGGAAUUUGGGCAAU
This 362-nucleotide ribosomal RNA is filed under the name uncultured soil bacterium. Its description in RNAcentral is "bacterial SSU rRNA". It matches the Rfam family "Bacterial small subunit ribosomal RNA", at positions 26 to 372 of the family's 1533-position model. The record is from RNAcentral.